CAUGCAUACACAAGGCAAACAUCACAAGCAAUUCUCAAAAGAAAAUUACAGAAGAACAUGAGCCUAAGGGUGUAUGUGUAUAAGGGUCCUUGGCUUACAUAUGAGUCUCUGUCUUUCUCUCAGCUACCUCAUUCACCUAAACAUCUGUUAGGAGCUUUGAGAUUCUUUAAACCUGCAUGAGUGACACCAGGAAAAUUACCCCAUCCUCAAACAGGUUUGGGCUCUAGGAAUGAUUCUGCCCAGCAGCCCAUCUUUCCAUCUAGUUGAGACCGAGCAAUGAAGUCAAAGAACAUUCUUUGGUCAAAUAUGUUUUGGCCUGGAUUUGCUAGAAGAGCUCUUUGGACUUGCUGAGAACUCAAUUACUGAAUCUUCUUUCAUUUAGCUUUUGUGUUUCCUGGACAGAACUCAAGAGGAAGAUAUUAUUGUAGUGGGGUUAAACAAGGUCACUCUAGUCUGAGUGACAGACAAUAAUAACGAGCCCCAGAAAGGUACCUGUUUUCCAGGGUGGUGUGAUCAGUAUUACACAAAAAUCUUGCAAGCCAUCUUUUACGAGGCCAGCAAGAUCACAGAAGGCAAUACCCAGUUUGCUCAGAGACAAGCUGUUUGCUAAUCAAGUUUUCUUAUACUCAGAACUAUGGAAACAUUUUCAAAGGUAUUAUUCUCGGCAGGUUUCCAAUAAUUCAACAUUUCCAGACUUAUCCAAAUGGCUUCUGAAAUAUUUGCUGUUUGUUGAGAGCAGCUUUCAGGAUGAGGUAAUUAAAAGAAACCUAUCAAUUUGAGAUUUUUUUUUACCGUGAGUAAAUAAUGUUGACAUACUGUUCAAAUAAACCCACAAUUUACUGCAAUCUGUUUUUAGAGAAACCCUCCACUUUAACCUCCAAAUAGGAAAAAACGAAGAGACUUUCCUCUUCUCAUUUAAUCAAGAACAUAUGUUCAAAGAUAAUACCGGAGGCUUAUUCUGGGAAGCGUUCUGCUCUUCCUCCGACAGCCACGCAGCGAGCUCACGAGGCAGCCUCCACACAUAAUGAAAGCAAACGCCACCAUAAAUCUCCCGCUCGGCGGAGGUCACUUCAGAAAAAUCGCCCGCUGCUCAGAUAAGCACCAGCUUUGCUGAGGAACAUGGAAGGGGGAAAACACCGACUGUGAUAAACACCAGCAGGAUGACUGGAGUCCGCUGGAACCUGGAAUGGAGUUUUCUGACAGCAAAGGAUUACAGGAGCGUAACAGAAAUUAUGGAGAUUUCCCCGCUAGGCAUAAGGAUGCGAUCACUGUAGGCACCUGUGGGCCCAAGCAGGUUACCCACCAAUAUCCCUUUAAACACCAAAUUAUGGACUAUUAGGCCACUGCUUCAAGGCUUCUACAAAUGUGAAACCUUGACAAAUUCCCAAAUAAAAGCCAUAAAACCAA
Molecule: long non-coding RNA, 1407 nt
Filed under: Homo sapiens (human)
Lineage: Eukaryota; Metazoa; Chordata; Mammalia; Primates; Hominidae
Description: HSALNT0322048
Source: RNAcentral